CGUUUACGUUAAUUGUUAUAAUUUAAUUCUCGGUGUCUGCUGGCCAUAUUCCAUUGUUUAUAAGUUUUACUAAGGAUUGUGCAAGUAGAGGAGUCGAUUAAGCGUGCCAGGGAAGGCGUUUUGUUUAUUUGCGUGUCCAAUAUGAGGGUAUGGAAUGCCGUUUAAAUACAGAAAUGAUGACAAUCAAACUGCUAACACAGCUUUAAUGCAGGAAAGCGUUUUAGUUAUU
This 229-nucleotide small RNA is filed under the name Drosophila mojavensis. RNAcentral describes it as "GI26010". The record is from RNAcentral. Lineage: Eukaryota; Metazoa; Arthropoda; Insecta; Diptera; Drosophilidae.